UACAGAGGGUGCGAGCGUUAAUCGGAAUUACUGGGCGUAAAGCGCGCGUAGGCGGCUUUUCAAGUCGGUUGUGAAAUCCCCGGGCUUAACCUGGGAACUGCAGUCGAGACUGUCUGGCUAGAGUAUGGGAGAGGGAAGUGGAAUUUCAGGUGUAGCGGUGAAAUGCGUAGAUAUCUGAAGGAACAUCAGUGGCGAAAGCGACUUCCUGGACCAAUACUGACGCUCAUGUGCGAAAGCGUGGGGAGCAAACAGG
This 253-nucleotide ribosomal RNA is filed under the name uncultured bacterium. Its description in RNAcentral is "partial 16S ribosomal RNA". It matches the Rfam family "Bacterial small subunit ribosomal RNA", at positions 524 to 776 of the family's 1533-position model. The record is from RNAcentral.